Molecule: non-coding RNA, 61 nt
Filed under: Clostridiales bacterium 1_7_47FAA
Lineage: Bacteria; Bacillati; Bacillota; Clostridia; Eubacteriales
Source: RNAcentral
CCUUUAAAGCUACUGCCCUUUUGGGUAACGGUCACAAGUCCGUGUAAAGGCUGAGUGGAGG